UACGUAUGAAGCAAGCGUUGUUCGGAAUUAUUGGGCGUAAAGGGCAUCUAGGCGGGAUGUUAAGUCAGGUGUGAAAGCUAAGGGCUCAACCCUUAAAUUGCAUUUGAUACUGGCAUUCUUGAGUUCAGAAGAGGAAGGCGGAAUUCCCGGUGUAGCGGUGAAAUGCGUAGAUAUCGGGAAGAACACCGGUGGCGAAGGCGGCCUUCUGGUCUUGGACUGACGCUGACAUGCGAAAGUGUGGGGAUCAAACGGG
Molecule: ribosomal RNA, 253 nt
Filed under: uncultured bacterium
Lineage: Bacteria
Description: partial 16S ribosomal RNA
Rfam family: Bacterial small subunit ribosomal RNA
Source: RNAcentral